GACGAACGCUGGCGGCGUGCCUAAUACAUGCAAGUCGAGCGGACGGAUGGGAGCUUGCUCCCAGACCGUCAGCGGCGGACGGGUGAGUAACACGUGGGCAACCUGCCUGUAAGACUGGGAUAACUCCGGGAAACCGGGGCUAAUACCGGAUAACUCUUUCCCUCACAUGAGGGAAAGCUGAAAGAUGGCAUCUCGCUAUCACUUACAGAUGGGCCCGCGGCGCAUUAGCUAGUUGGUGAGGUAACGGCUCACCAAGGCGACGAUGCGUAGCCGACCUGAGAGGGGGAUCGGCCACACUGGGACUGAGACACGGCCCAGACUCCUACGGAGGCAGCAGUAGGGAAUCUUCCACAAAGGACGAAAGUCUGACGGAGCAACGCCGCGUGAGUGAUGAAGGUUUUCGGAUCGUAAAACUCUGUUGUCAGGGAAGAACAAGUACCGGAGUAACUGCCGGUACCUUGACGGUACCUGACCAGAAAGCCACGGCUAACUACGUG
RNAcentral lists this ribosomal RNA (497 nucleotides) under uncultured bacterium. Its description in RNAcentral is "partial 16S ribosomal RNA". It matches the Rfam family "Bacterial small subunit ribosomal RNA", at positions 28 to 507 of the family's 1533-position model. The record is from RNAcentral.